Molecule: ribosomal RNA, 978 nt
Filed under: uncultured bacterium
Lineage: Bacteria
Description: bacterial SSU rRNA
Rfam family: Bacterial small subunit ribosomal RNA
Source: RNAcentral
UUAGAGUUUGAGCAUGGCUCAGGACGAACGCUGGCGGCGUGCUUAACACAUGCAAGUCUAAGGAGAAAGGCCCUUCGGGGACGAGUACACUGGCGAACGGGUUAGUAACGCGUAGGCAACCUGCCCUAAAGUUUGGGAUAACUCCGCGAAAGCGGGGCUAAUACCGAAUAAGAUCCCAUUUCAUAAGAAACUGGGAUUAAAGAAGGCUUCGGCUUUUGCUUUUGGAUGGGCCUGCGUCUGAUUAGUUUGUUGGUGAGGUAACGGCUCACCAAGACGAUGAUCAGUAGCUGGUUUGAGAGGACGAUCAGCAACAUUGGGACUGAGAUACGGCCCAGACUCCUACGGGAGGCAGCAGUGGGGAAUUUUGCGCAAUGGGCGAAAGCCUGACGCAGCAACGCCGCGUGAUCGAAGAAGCUCUGCGGAGUGUAAAGAUCUGUCAUAGGGGAAGAAAAAUUUCGUUAUUAACACCAUCGAAACGUGACUGUACCCUAUAAGAAAGCCCCGGCUAACUUCGUGCCAGCAGCCGCGGUAAUACGAGGGGGGCAAGCGUUGUCCGGAUUCAUUGGGCGUAAAGAGUUCGUAGGCGGAUUAGUCAGUCGAAAUUGAAAUCCCACGGCUUAACCGUGGUUCCGGUUUCGAUACUGCUGAUCUUGAGUGAGGUAGAGGUAAGCGGAAUUCCUGGUGUAGCGGUGAAAUGCGUAGAUAUCAGGAGGAACACCAAAGGCGAAGGCAGCUUACUGGGCCUAUACUGACGCUGAGGAACGAAAGCGUGGGUAGCAAACAGGAUUAGAGACCCUGGUAGUCCACGCCGUAAACGAUGAGUACUUGGUGGUGGGGGAUUCGACCCCUUCACUGUCGGAGCUAACGCGUUAAGUACUCCGCCUGGGGACUACGACCGCAAGGUUGAAACUCAAAGGAAUUGACGGGGACCCGCACAAGCGGUGGAUUAUGUGGUUUAAUUCGAUGCAACGCGAAGAA